AAUCCAAAACUCAGUCUAAUUAGUGUCGUGAUGGUUUGCGGUUGCAUAAACAGAUUGUGCAUCUGAUCAUUUUGAAAUUUUUUAUGUAGGUUUAUGCUCUAUGGUUAUAAAGGUUCAGGAGAAGGGUGCGGGUGACAAUGGAAGGUCGGUAUCUAGAAGGCAAUCUGCUCGGUUUGAACAUGAUGAACCGAAACUCGCAGAGGACAUGUUCCAUACAAUCGAGAUUGAUGAUAAAAUGCAAGGCUGUCUCGUGAAGUAACUAAGAAGGUUCAGUCUUAUAAGGAAAUUGGUGUCAACGUAAAAAUGCGCAGACCUGAGUGAGCGUUUUUUGAACUACUUGGUUUGAAAAUCAUACCCCUACUGAUACAGAAACAGAACUAACAUUAAAAGAUGGUAGCCAGGAGUUACCAGAUCGGGCAAUCAGUAUAACGAGCAUUUUAUGGGUUCCAGUUCGUGCUACUAAUGAUGUAUUAGAAAGAGGAACAUCUGUAGGUUCCAGUUCAUGCUACUAUGAUUACUGAAGAGGAAGCUAAAGCUAUGAAUCCCAAUUCUAUAUUAAACAUUAGAUACACAAGGUUUCCACGUGUUCAAGGCA
Molecule: long non-coding RNA, 595 nt
Organism: Helianthus annuus (common sunflower)
Lineage: Eukaryota; Viridiplantae; Streptophyta; Magnoliopsida; Asterales; Asteraceae
Exons: 3
Source: RefSeq, a predicted model, not a curated record